Molecule: ribosomal RNA, 301 nt
Filed under: uncultured bacterium
Lineage: Bacteria
Description: partial 16S ribosomal RNA
Rfam family: Bacterial small subunit ribosomal RNA
Source: RNAcentral
CAGUAGCCGCGGGAAUACGUAGGUGGCAAGCGUUGUCCGGAAUUAUUGGGCGUAAAGCGCGCGCAGGCGGAUCAGUUAGUCUGUCUUAAAAGUUCGGGGCUUAACCCCGUGAGGGGAUGGAAACUGCUGAUCUAGAGUCUCGGAGAGGAAAGUGGAAUUCCUAGUGUAGCGGUGAAAUGCGUAGAUAUUAGGAAGAACACCAGUGGCGAAGGCGACUUUCUGGACGAAAACUGACGCUGAGGCACGAAAGUGUGGGUAGCAAACAGGAUUAGAUACCCGAGUAGUCCCUGUCUCUUAUACA